RNAcentral lists this ribosomal RNA (253 nucleotides) under uncultured bacterium. RNAcentral describes it as "partial 16S ribosomal RNA". It matches the Rfam family "Bacterial small subunit ribosomal RNA", at positions 524 to 776 of the family's 1533-position model. The record is from RNAcentral.
CACGUAGGGGGCUAGCGUUGUCCGGAAUCAUUGGGCGUAAAGCGCGUGUAGGCGGCCCGGUAAGUCAGCUGUGAAAGUCGGGGGCUCAACCCUCGAAUGCCGGUGGAUACUGUCGGGCUAGAGUACGGAAGAGGCGAGUGGAAUUCCUGGUGUAGCGGUGAAAUGCGCAGAUAUCAGGAGGAACACCCAUUACGAAGGCAGCUCGCUGGGACGUUACUGACGCUGAGACGCGAAAGCGUGGGGAGCAAACAGG